Molecule: unclassified non-coding RNA, 22 nt
Filed under: Strongyloides ratti
Lineage: Eukaryota; Metazoa; Nematoda; Chromadorea; Rhabditida; Strongyloididae
Description: SL1-like trans-spliced leader sequence variant SL1l
Source: RNAcentral
GGUUUAAAAACCCGAUUUUGAG